AUACGGAGGGUGCAAGCGUUAUCCGGAAUCAUUGGGUUUAAAGGGUCCGCAGGCGGAUUAAUAAGUCAGUGGUGAAAUCCUCUCGCUCAACGAGAGAACUGCCAUUGAAACUGUUAGUCUUGAAUUCGGUCGAAGUAGGCGGAAUGUGUCAUGUAGCGGUGGAAUGCAUAGAUAUGACACAGAACACCGAUAGCGAAGGCAGCUUACUAGGCCUGGAUUGACGCUCAUGGACGAAAGCGUGGGGAGCGAACAGGAUUAGAAACCCCGGUAGUCC
RNAcentral lists this ribosomal RNA (274 nucleotides) under uncultured bacterium. RNAcentral's name for it is "partial 16S ribosomal RNA". It matches the Rfam family "Bacterial small subunit ribosomal RNA", at positions 523 to 796 of the family's 1533-position model. The record is from RNAcentral.